This is a non-coding RNA of Lupinus albus (white lupine), 102 nucleotides long. NCBI's taxonomy places the organism in Eukaryota, Viridiplantae, Streptophyta, Magnoliopsida, Fabales, Fabaceae. The record is from the annotation of a GenBank genome assembly.
UAGUUCUAGUCGGAGAAGCAGGGCACGUGCAACAUCUUCAUCAAACUCAAAGCUCGAGUUUAAUCUGAUAUUGCACGUGUUCUCCUUCUCCAACAUGAUCUU